AAACCUCGCGGGUGCCGUGGUUUCGAGCGAGUCGGUAUGUGUGUAGGCCCUUGGCCUUGCAUCCGGGCUAUAAAAAGAAACCCUCCGCCGCGAACCCCCCUGGCCAUCCAAGUCACAGGCUUCAUCGGCGCCGCCUCAAUUUGCUCCCGGUCUUUUCCUUCUCCACCGUGUCGCACGUCUCCGUGGUCAGACUCCUUCACAGCUUGACAGCCGGUGAGCAACAUCCUAUCACAUUCACAAUCCUCUCCUCCAUGUGUAGCGAUGUUUAGGGUGUCGGAUGGGGCACGGUUGCGCUGGGUCGUCGCGCACCGGCGGGGUUACCGCCGUGAAGACUGGUGGCGCCGCCAUCUUGCGUCGUUGAGGUGGAAGAUGAACCUCGAUCAUGGGAUCCCAAACCUAUGGACAUGAUUAGAUCCCAGGCCCCGGCCCGGCCUGAGUAUUGGUGAUCCGCACGAUCUAGAUCGUAAGGCCAGAGACGUAUCACGUGUACGUAGAACCCGAACCGAAGGAUUAGGAUCUUACGACCUCAAUUUUGUAUUGGUUCGAAUGGCGACCGUUCUAAUCGCGGCCUUCAGUUUUUGAUCGCGCGGCCAGGAUUGGCGGAUACCCCUUCGUCGAGCCAACUUUGUAGAAGAAACCCUCGGGUUAAGCAAAACCAACCUGCCGUCCUGGAGCAGUAGAAAAGAAUUUAAUUCGGGUCCCUGGCAUUUGCAGUUUAAACCAUGUACUCUCUGAAAAUUAGGGCCGCAGUCCAAGGAGGGGAUAAAAAGGAAUAAACUAAAUCAGAAAAUAAUUUUUAGUAUUAAAAUAAUUUCAGAAUCUUGGUUAAUACAUAGAAAAUCCAUUUUAACUUCUUUUGAUCCAUUCCAGUUGCAUUAAUUUUGUUUGAAUAUUGUUUAUCAUCUGGUAACUCUGGUUAGUCAUGAAACACAUAUUAAAAUUAUCCACUUAAUUUAUUCUAUACUAAACACUUAAUAACUUCGGAAAAUCGUAGCUCGUGAACCGUAACUCCGAAUUUAGUGAUUCUCGAACCUACGACCUCGUUACGAUGCAUAGAAUAUUAUUAUGCAGUAUGUUCUCAUGUUUGGUGUGAUGUUAAUUUUUCAUGUACCAUGUUUGCUUGUAUUGUUGCGAGUAGACGGGCAAGUGACUGAGGACUCAGAAGCUCGGCAGGUGGAAAAUACUGAGCAGGAGCUCGUUGAAGGCAAGUUGUGCCCUUGAUCACUUCUAUUUACCCAAUAAUUUUCAUGUUGAUCAUUAUGAUCUGCAUAGGUUAAUUUUGAUGGGAUCCAAUAGGUCACCCGAGUUUGGCUAUCUUUAUACCUUGUUUACCACUGAACUUUUGGGUAGUACCUGCUAUUGCUUUAUGUGGUUUUGGGUGUUAAGAUACACAUUAUUCAUGUUCAUGCUUUUAUUAUCAAUUUUUUAUUUACUGUUCAUGACAAGAUCAUUAUGUUAAUUGGAACAUGGAGCGACCACCCGGGAAAAUGGUGCUACCACAAGGGUGGUAUGGGACGCCCUUGACUGACUAAUUAGGAAAGCUAGUGGAGGACUACCUUACCCGAAAGAGGCAAGGGCAGUAGGGGAGUGGUCGGUAUAGGGAGGUUCUCGGGUUGAUUUUGCUGCGAUGGUUUUCAGACGGGGGAUUCUGAUGCUGCGCUCCAUAGAAAUUGUAGCGGGUUUUCUGAAGCUAGUGGAACUUUAUAAAGGCCUCGUAGUAUUACCCUGUCUCGCUUCCUUGGUAGAGGUGUAUGGGAUUCAUGACCCCUUGGCAGAUGGGUAACAUAACUUGUGGGUAAAGAUGUGCAACCUCAGCAGAGUGUAAAACUGGUAUAUCAGUCGUGCUCACUGUUAUGAGCGGCUCGGACCCUCACAUGAGUAACUUAUGGAAUUAAAUUUAAUUGGUCAUUUGCAUCGCAUUGUGGUUUAUUAUUAAUUUUGAUCUAUUAUCACUCUGGUUUGGUAUAUACUUACAUUUAGUAAUUGCUAAUAAAAUUUGACCAACUUAUUAAAAGCAAUGCUCUGCUUUAACCAUUAUUUGUUGAUCAGCAUUACACUUCACAUGAACUCUCACCUUUGUUGAGUUCAUGCACAUUAUUCCCCACAACUUGUUGAGCUAUGAUCUUUUGUGAGCUCACUCUUGCGAUAUAUAAACCACCCCAGAAGAAGAACAGGUGGUCCAGGAGGAGGUCUACAACGAGGAGUAUGAGCUUAUCUAGGUGGCGUCUCCCAGUCAGCUUAUGGCGCCAAGGAAUAAUUAUUUAGUUCGUUUUCUUAUUAUUAUUUAUUUUUGUAAGACUCUUCCGCUAUGUAAUAAUAAUUGUGGCAUUUAUCUCUAUACACUUUAUCAUUAUUUGUGGUGUUCUUCUUUAUCUGGGUGUGACAGAUGGCGGGUUCCGCGAUGGGUACGUGGCGACGGCGGAUGAGGAGUGGAUGGAGAGCGGUU
This 2446-nucleotide long non-coding RNA is filed under the name Zea mays. RNAcentral describes it as "long non-coding RNA (ZMAY_LNC002698)". Lineage: Eukaryota; Viridiplantae; Streptophyta; Magnoliopsida; Poales; Poaceae. The record is from RNAcentral.